GGGGGAUUAGCUCAAAUGGUAGAGCGCUCGCUUAGCAUGUGAGAGGUAGCGGGAUCGAUAAGUCUUUUUCUUCA
Pelobates cultripes (western spadefoot toad) is the source of this 74-nucleotide non-coding RNA. Lineage: Eukaryota; Metazoa; Chordata; Amphibia; Anura; Pelobatidae. The record is from the annotation of a GenBank genome assembly.